This 896-nucleotide ribosomal RNA is filed under the name Wolbachia sp. RNAcentral's name for it is "bacterial SSU rRNA". It matches the Rfam family "Bacterial small subunit ribosomal RNA", at positions 73 to 1002 of the family's 1533-position model. Lineage: Bacteria; Pseudomonadati; Pseudomonadota; Alphaproteobacteria; Rickettsiales; Anaplasmataceae. The record is from RNAcentral.
UUGUAGCCUGCUAUGGUAUAACUUAGUGGCAGACGGGUGAGUAAUGUAUAGGAAUCUACCUAGUAGUACGGAAUAAUUGUUGGAAACGGCAACUAAUACCGUAUACGCCCUACGGGGGAAAAAUUUAUUGCUAUUAGAUGAGCCUAUAUUAGAUUAGCUAGUUGGUGGAGUAAUAGCCUACCAAGGCAAUGAUCUAUAGCUGAUCUGAGAGGAUGAUCAGCCACACUGGAACUGAGAUACGGUCCAGACUCCUACGGGAGGCAGCAGUGGGGAAUAUUGGACAAUGGGCGAAACGUGAUCCAGCCAUGCCGCAUGAGUGAAGAAGGCCUUUGGGUUGUAAAGCUCUUUUAGUGAGGAAGAUAAUGACGGUACUCACAGAAGAAGUCCUGGCUAACUCCGUGCCAGCAGCCGCGGUAAUACGGAGAGGGCUAGCGUUAUUCGGAAUUAUUGGGCGUAAAGGGCGCGUAGGCGGAUUAGUAAGUUAAAAGUGAAAUCCCAAGGCUCAACCUUGGAAUUGCUUUUAAAACUGCUAAUCUAGAGAUUGAAAGAGGAUAGAGGAAUUCCUAGUGUAGAGGUGAAAUUCGUAAAUAUUAGGAGGAACACCAGUGGCGAAGGCGUCUAUCUGGUUCAAAUCUGACGCUGAGGCGCGAAGGCGUGGGGAGCAAACAGGAUUAGAUACCCUGGUAGUCCACGCUGUAAACGAUGAAUGUUAAAUAUGGGAAGUUUUACUUUCUGUAUUACAGCUAACGCGUUAAACAUUCCGCCUGGGGACUACGGUCGCAAGAUUAAAACUCAAAGGAAUUGACGGGGACCCGCACAAGCGGUGGAGCAUGUGGUUUAAUUCGAUGCAACGCGAAAAACCUUACCACUCCUUGACAUGAAAAUCAUACCUAUUC